Molecule: long non-coding RNA, 1014 nt
Organism: Panicum virgatum (switchgrass)
Lineage: Eukaryota; Viridiplantae; Streptophyta; Magnoliopsida; Poales; Poaceae
Exons: 2
Source: RefSeq, a predicted model, not a curated record
UCCGUGCCUCCGAGCGCCGUUCCUACCCCCGAGCGGCGGCCCUUCGCCGAUGCGCUGCCGCCGCCGUCAUGGUGUGCCACCGGCGAGCGCUGUCGCCGGCGUCGAGGGCCGCCACGCGCCGUUGCCGAGCGCGCCGCCUCUUCUUCCUCUUGAUUCUUGCGCCUUCUCGCCCCCAUGUGCGCUGGCUGAUGCCGGCCGCUGCCGUGUGCCUCUGCGCCGCCGCCGCUGCCGGGGACGUCGCCCAGCGCCCCCUUCUCCUCUUCUUCGGUUCCGCCCCUCCCCCUCGUGCGCCGGCCAUGGCCGAUUCAAUGGUCGGAGGGGAGCUCCAAUCCAUGUGCGCGCCGUGGCCGAGGGCCGUCGGCCCGAUGCGCCGCCGCGGCCGGUGUGCGACGCCGGUGCGCCUUGCCGGCGCCGUCGACGUCCCUUUGCGCCGAGCCCGGCCUUCGGUGGCACUCCCUGCGAGGCCGCCCCGCGACGGAGGACGCAGGCAGGUGAAGAGGGGCGUCGUUCGUGCCGCCGGUGGUGCGUGGUUCAGUGGUUGUGCCAGGCUUCCUCAUCGGUUCAGUGGUUGUGCCAGGCUCCUCAUCGACGGUGAGGACUCAGAUGGCUAGGCAUCCAGCGCCCCUGACUACCGGUGAAGCGGCGGCCGCGACCACCGCGGAAACGGCGUCCAUGGCGAUGAUGGCGUCCUGUGAGACGCCGGCCAUGCAGGGUGAAGAUGCAGCGUCCUCUCUUCUGGAAGUGAUGACGGCGACGUCCAGUGCACAGGCGGCGAGAGGAAGGAUGCAAAGAGACGCGGUCAGGAGAGGCAUACAUCUAUCUCGAGCCGCUCCUGAGAGUAGUGCUACAUGUCAGACAAUGACAUUGUGCGACAGCAUGCAUGACCACAUGGUGGCGAAUGUUGUUGCAUUGCCUCUAUGAUUUUUGUGUGAUGCGUGAUCAGCCUCGUGUCACACGUCAUUUUGAAUGUUUUCAAAUAUAAACACAUCACAUGUGUUUUUAACAUAAACACAA